Molecule: ribosomal RNA, 109 nt
Filed under: Dolosigranulum pigrum
Lineage: Bacteria; Bacillati; Bacillota; Bacilli; Lactobacillales; Carnobacteriaceae
Description: partial 16S ribosomal RNA
Rfam family: Bacterial small subunit ribosomal RNA
Source: RNAcentral
GGCCAACCCUAUGGGAGGCAGCCGUCGAAGGUGGGUUGAAUGAUUGGGGUGAAGUCGUAACAAGGUAGCCGUAUCGGAAGGUGCGGCUGGAUCACCUCCUUUCUAAGGA